ACGUAGGAGGCGAGCGUUGUCCGGAAUCAUUGGGCGUAAAGAGCGCGCAGGCGGCUUGGCAAGUCGGGUGUGAAAUCCCGGGGCUCAACCCCGUGACUGCAUUCGAUACUGUCAGGCUAGAGGUAGGUAGGGGAGAUCGGAAUUCCUGGUGUAGCGGUGAAAUGCGCAGAUAUCAGGAGGAACACCGGUGGCGAAGGCGGAUCUCUGGGCCUUACCUGACGCUCAGGCGCGAAAGCCAGGGGAGCGAACAGGA
Molecule: ribosomal RNA, 253 nt
Filed under: uncultured prokaryote
Description: partial 16S ribosomal RNA
Rfam family: Bacterial small subunit ribosomal RNA
Source: RNAcentral